UGGGGAAUAUUGGACAAUGGGCGCAAGCCUGAUCCAGCAAUGCCGCGUGGAUGAAGAAGGUCUUCGGAUUGUAAAGUCCUUUCGGCGGGGACGAUGAUGACGGUACCCGCAGAAGAAGCCCCGGCUAACUUCGUGCCAGCAGCCGCGGUAAUACGAAGGGGGCUAGCGUUACUCGGAAUGACUGGGCGUAAAGGGGGCGUAGGCGGUUUGGACAGUUAGGCGUGAAAUUCCUGGGCUCAACCUGGGGGCUGCGCUUAAUACAUCCAGACUUGAGUGUGGAAGAGGGUCGUGGAAUUCCCAGUGUAGAGGUGGAAUUCGUAGAUAUCGGGAAGAACACCGGUGGCGAAGGCGGCGACCUGGUCCAUUACUGACGCUGAGGCGCGAAAGCGUGGGGAGCAAACA
Molecule: ribosomal RNA, 402 nt
Filed under: uncultured bacterium
Lineage: Bacteria
Description: bacterial SSU rRNA
Rfam family: Bacterial small subunit ribosomal RNA
Source: RNAcentral